This 82-nucleotide transfer RNA is filed under the name Ruminococcus sp. RNAcentral describes it as "tRNA-Leu". It matches the Rfam family "tRNA". Rfam says of the family: Transfer RNA (tRNA) molecules are approximately 80 nucleotides in length. Their secondary structure includes four short double-helical elements and three loops (D, anti-codon, and T loops). The record is from RNAcentral. Lineage: Bacteria; Bacillati; Bacillota; Clostridia; Eubacteriales; Oscillospiraceae.
GCGAGUGUGCUGGAACUGGCAGACAGGCACGUUUGAGGGGCGUGUGUCUUAUGGCGUAUGGGUUCAAGUCCCAUUACUCGCA